AUCCAGAUGACGAGUCCCAAAUAGGACGAAAGGUGCGUCCUGGAU
This 45-nucleotide non-coding RNA is filed under the name Schistosoma mansoni. Lineage: Eukaryota; Metazoa; Platyhelminthes; Trematoda; Strigeidida; Schistosomatidae. The record is from RNAcentral.